GCAUCCGUAGCUCAGCUGGAUAGAGUACUCGGCUACGAACCGAGCGGUCGGAGGUUCUCCUCCCGGAUGCACCC
RNAcentral lists this transfer RNA (74 nucleotides) under Salmonella enterica subsp. enterica serovar Typhimurium. RNAcentral's name for it is "tRNA-Arg". The record is from RNAcentral. Lineage: Bacteria; Pseudomonadati; Pseudomonadota; Gammaproteobacteria; Enterobacterales; Enterobacteriaceae.